This is a long non-coding RNA of Selaginella moellendorffii, 219 nucleotides long. RefSeq lists it as uncharacterized. The transcript is spliced from 2 exons. The record is from RefSeq and is a predicted model, not a curated record. Lineage: Eukaryota; Viridiplantae; Streptophyta; Lycopodiopsida; Selaginellales; Selaginellaceae.
UCGUCGGGAUUCUUGAGCAUCUGGGAAAAGACCGAGAUGAAACCUUUGGCUUGCCCUUGUUGCGCUCCUGGUGGUCUGGUAAAGAGACUCUUUAUUUCCUUGCAUAUGUUUCUCCUUGAUCUGUGCAUGCAUCCAAAUUUGUGUCCUACCUUGUUUUGAUUGUUUAUAUUGAAAAUUAAGUUGGAAUAAUAUCAAAACUAAGCAAUUGUUAUUGAGGAA